CCAAAAAGUUCAUUCGGGUUUUUCCAUAAGAUGGCAUCGCGAAACCCGAACAAACUUUUUGGC
This 63-nucleotide microRNA precursor is filed under the name Tursiops truncatus (common bottlenose dolphin). RNAcentral's name for it is "miRNA (ENSTTRG00000024283.1)". The record is from RNAcentral. Lineage: Eukaryota; Metazoa; Chordata; Mammalia; Artiodactyla; Delphinidae.